Molecule: ribosomal RNA, 284 nt
Filed under: Escherichia coli
Lineage: Bacteria; Pseudomonadati; Pseudomonadota; Gammaproteobacteria; Enterobacterales; Enterobacteriaceae
Description: partial 23S ribosomal RNA
Rfam family: Bacterial large subunit ribosomal RNA
Source: RNAcentral
GAAUGCUGACAUAAGUAACGAUAAAGCGGGUGAAAAGCCCGCUCGCCGGAAGACCAAGGGUUCCUGUCCAACGUUAAUCGGGGCAGGGUGAGUCGACCCCUAAGGCGAGGCCGAAAGGCGUAGUCGAUGGGAAACAGGUUAAUAUUCCUGUACUUGGUGUUACUGCGAAGGGGGGACGGAGAAGGCUAUGUUGGCCGGGCGACGGUUGUCCCGGUUUAAGCGUGUAGGCUGGUUUUCCAGGCAAAUCCGGAAAAUCAAGGCUGAGGCGUGAUGACGAGGCACUA